Molecule: ribosomal RNA, 254 nt
Filed under: uncultured bacterium
Lineage: Bacteria
Description: partial small subunit ribosomal RNA
Rfam family: Bacterial small subunit ribosomal RNA
Source: RNAcentral
AGGACGAACGCUGGCGGCGUGCUUAACACAUGCAAGUCGAGCGGAAAGGCCAUUCGGGGUACUCGAGCGGCGAACGGGUGAGUAACACGUGAGCAACCUGCCCCUGGCUCUGGGAUAGCUCCGGGAAACCGGGAUUAAUACCGGAUAUGACCCCCUUCUGCAUGGUGGGGGGUGGAAAGUUUUUCGGCUGGGGAUGGGCUCGCGGCCUAUCAGCUUGUUGGUGGGGUGAUGGCCUACCAAGGCGACGACGGGUA